GAUGAACGCUGGCGGCGUGCCUAAUACAUGCAAGUCGAGCGAACAGAUAAGGAGCUUGCUCCUUUGACGUUAGCGGCGGACGGGUGAGUAACACGUGGGUAACCUACCUAUAAGACUGGGAUAACUUCGGGAAACCGGAGCUAAUACCGGAUAACAUUUGGAACCGCAUGGUUCUAAAGUGAAAGAUGGUUUUGCUAUCACUUAUAGAUGGACCCGCGCCGUAUUAGCUAGUUGGUAAGGUAACGGCUUACCAAGGCAACGAUACGUAACCGACCUGAGAGGGUGAUCGGCCACACUGGAACUGAGACACGGUCCAGACUCCUACGGGAGGCAGCAGUAGGGAAUCUUCCGCAAUGGGCGAAAGCCUGACGGAGCAACGCCGCGUGAGUGAUGAAGGGUUUCGGCUCGUAAAACUCUGUUAUUAGGGAAGAACAAAUGUGUAAGUAACUGUGCACGUCUUGACGGUACCUAAUCAGAAAGCCACGGCUAACUACGUG
Molecule: ribosomal RNA, 497 nt
Filed under: uncultured bacterium
Lineage: Bacteria
Description: partial 16S ribosomal RNA
Rfam family: Bacterial small subunit ribosomal RNA
Source: RNAcentral